Molecule: ribosomal RNA, 181 nt
Filed under: uncultured bacterium
Lineage: Bacteria
Description: partial 16S ribosomal RNA
Rfam family: Bacterial small subunit ribosomal RNA
Source: RNAcentral
GAAGCCGGAAUCGCUAGUAAUCGCAGAUCAGAAUGCUGCGGUGAAUACGUUCCCGGGUCUUGUACACACCGCCCGUCACACCAUGGGAGGUCGGAAAUGCCCGAAGUCAGUGGCCCAACCGGAAGGGAGGGAGCUGCCGAAGGCAGGUCCGGUGACUGGGGUGAAGUCGUAACAAGGUACC